This 64-nucleotide transfer RNA is filed under the name Escherichia coli 90.2281. Its description in RNAcentral is "partial tRNA-Val". It matches the Rfam family "tRNA", at positions 10 to 71 of the family's 71-position model. From Rfam's summary of the family: Transfer RNA (tRNA) molecules are approximately 80 nucleotides in length. The record is from RNAcentral. Lineage: Bacteria; Pseudomonadati; Pseudomonadota; Gammaproteobacteria; Enterobacterales; Enterobacteriaceae.
GCUCAGCUGGGAGAGCACCUCCCUUACAAGGAGGGGGUCGGCGGUUCGAUCCCGUCAUCACCCA